This 289-nucleotide signal recognition particle RNA is filed under the name Saimiri boliviensis boliviensis (Bolivian squirrel monkey). Its description in RNAcentral is "Metazoan signal recognition particle RNA (ENSSBOG00000002476.1)". It matches the Rfam family "Metazoan signal recognition particle RNA". From Rfam's summary of the family: The signal recognition particle (SRP) is a universally conserved ribonucleoprotein. It is involved in the co-translational targeting of proteins to membranes. The eukaryotic SRP consists of a 300-nucleotide 7S RNA and six proteins: SRPs 72, 68, 54, 19, 14, and 9. Lineage: Eukaryota; Metazoa; Chordata; Mammalia; Primates; Cebidae. The record is from RNAcentral.
GCCGGGCGCGGUGGCGUGUGCCUGUAGCCCCAGCUACUCAGGAGGUUGAGAUGGGAGGAUCUCUUGAGCCCAGGAGUUCUGGGCUGUAGUGCCCUUCGGCAUCAAUAUGAUGAGCUCUUGGGAGCGAGGGACCACCAGGUUGCCUAAGGAGGGAUGAAACAGGUCAGGUCAGAAACGGAGCAGGUCAGAAACGGAGCAGGUCAGAACUCCCAUGCUGAUUGGUAGUGGGAUUGUGCCUGUGAAUAACCACUGCACCCCAGCCUGGGCAACAUAGCGAGACCCCGUCUCU